This 274-nucleotide ribosomal RNA is filed under the name uncultured bacterium. RNAcentral describes it as "partial 16S ribosomal RNA". It matches the Rfam family "Bacterial small subunit ribosomal RNA", at positions 523 to 796 of the family's 1533-position model. The record is from RNAcentral.
AUACGGAUGGUGCGAGCGUUGUUCGGAAUUACUGGGCGUAAAGGGCGCGUAGGCGGCGAUGUAAGUCAAAUGUGAAAGUCCUCGGCUUAACCGGGGAAGUGCAUCUGAAACUGCAUUGCUUGAGUAUGGGAGAGGAAAGUGGAAUUCCCGGUGUAGAGGUGAAAUUCGUAGAGAUCGGGAGGAAUACCGGUGGCGAAGGCGACUUUCUGGACCAAUUCUGACGCUGAGGCGCGAAAGCGUGGGGAGCAAACAGGAUUAGAAACCCUUGUAGUCC